AGUCCAACCCAAUCCCUUCAUGUCUUAACUCUCUCAUGCACGAAUCAAGCCCCAUCCCCAUUCGGGCACAACCCAAUUGAGCCAAUUGAACCCCAAUUAGCCAUUCUAUCAUCUUUUUUCUCCUAUCCGCAAGAAAAACCCUGGCCACUAUUGAAAAAAAAGAAGGAGAAAAGAAGAUUCAGCUGCCAUCAUUCCCAAGUUUCAGCACCUCCC
This 213-nucleotide long non-coding RNA is filed under the name Phoenix dactylifera (date palm). RNAcentral describes it as "long non-coding RNA (PDAC_LNC004486)". The record is from RNAcentral. Lineage: Eukaryota; Viridiplantae; Streptophyta; Magnoliopsida; Arecales; Arecaceae.